GAUGAAGAACGUAGCGAAAUGCGAUAAGUAAUGUGAAUUGCAGAAUUCAGUGAAUCAUCGAAUCUUUGAACGCACAUUGCGCCCGCCAGUAUUCUGGCGGGCAUGUCUGUUCGAGCGUCAUUUCAACCAUCAAGCCCCCGGGCUUGUGUUGGGGACCUGCGGCUGCCGCAGGCCCUGAAAAGCAGUGGCGGGCUCGCUGUCACACCGAGCGUAGUAGCAUACAUCUCGCUCUGGGCGUGCUGCGGGUUCCGGCCGUUAAACCACCUUUUAACCCAAGGUUGACCUCGGAUCAGGUAGGAAGACCCGCUGAACUUAAGCAUAUCAAUAAGCGGAGGA
This 336-nucleotide unclassified non-coding RNA is filed under the name soil metagenome. Its description in RNAcentral is "partial contains 5.8S ribosomal RNA, internal transcribed spacer 2, and large subunit ribosomal RNA". The stretch from base 1 to 120 matches the Rfam family "5.8S ribosomal RNA", at positions 35 to 154 of the family's 154-position model. The record is from RNAcentral.